GACGAACGCUGGCGGCGUGCCUAAUACAUGCAAGUUGAGCGAUGAAGAUUGGUGCUUGCACCAAUUUGAAGAGCAGCGAACGGGUGAGUAACGCGUGGGGAAUCUGCCUUUGAGCGGGGGACAACAUUUGGAAACGAAUGCUAAUACCGCAUAACAACUUUAAACAUAAGUUUUAAGUUUGAAAGAUGCAAUUGCAUCACUCAAAGAUGAUCCCGCGUUGUAUUAGCUAGUUGGUGAGGUAAAGGCUCACCAAGGCGAUGAUACAUAGCCGACCUGAGAGGGUGAUCGGCCACAUUGGGACUGAGACACGGCCCAAACUCCUACGGGAGGCAGCAGUAGGGAAUCUUCGGCAAUGGACGAAAGUCUGGCCGAGCAACGCCGCGUGAGUGAAGAAGGGUUUCGGAUCGUAAAACUCGGUUGGUAGAGAAGAACGUUGGUGAGAGUGGAAAGCUCAUCAAGUGACGGUAACUACCCAGAAAGGGACGGCUAACUACGUG
This 497-nucleotide ribosomal RNA is filed under the name uncultured bacterium. RNAcentral's name for it is "partial 16S ribosomal RNA". It matches the Rfam family "Bacterial small subunit ribosomal RNA", at positions 28 to 507 of the family's 1533-position model. The record is from RNAcentral.